RNAcentral lists this ribosomal RNA (390 nucleotides) under fungal sp. RNAcentral describes it as "SSU rRNA". It matches the Rfam family "Eukaryotic small subunit ribosomal RNA", at positions 827 to 1217 of the family's 1831-position model. The record is from RNAcentral. Lineage: Eukaryota; Fungi.
CGUGCGGUUCUAUUUUGUUGGUUUCUAGGACCGCCGUAAUGAUUAAUAGGGACAGUCGGGGGCAUCAGUAUUCAAUUGUCAGAGGUGAAAUUCUUGGAUUUAUUGAAGACUAACUACUGCGAAAGCAUUUGCCAAGGAUGUUUUCAUUAAUCAGGAACGAAAGUUAGGGGAUCGAAGACGAUCAGAUACCGUCGUAGUCUUAACCAUAAACUAUGCCGACUAGGGAUCGGACGAUGUUACUUAUUGACUCGUUCGGCACCUUACGAGAAAUCAAAGUGCUUGGGCUCCAGGGGGAGUAUGGUCGCAAGGCUGAAACUUAAAGAAAUUGACGGAAGGGCACCACCAGGGGUGGAGCCUGCGGCUUAAUUUGACUCAACACGGGGAAACUCA